UUAGAGUUUGAUCCUGGCUCAGGAUGACCUUUGGCGGCGUGCUUAAUACAUGCAAGUCGAACGGACAAAGUCAGAAAGCUUGCUUUCUGAUCGAGUUAGUGGCGAACGGGUGAGUAAUACGUAGGCAACCUACCCUAAAGUGGGGGAUAGCAGUUGGAAACGACUAUUAAUACCGCAUAGGUAAUCGGAUGGCAUCAUCUGAUUAUUAAAGACGCGUUUGCGUCGCUGUGGGAUGGGCUUACGCUGUAUUAGCUUGUUGGUGAGGUAACGGCCCACCAAGGCGAUGAUACAUAGCCGGUCUGAGAGGAUGAACGGCCACAUUGGGACUGAGACACGGCCCAGACUCCUACGGGAGGCAGCAGUAAGGAAUUUUCGGCAAUGGGGGAAACCUUGACCGAGCAACGCCGCGUGAGUGAUGAAGGUCUUCGGAUCGUAAAGCUCUGUGGUAAAGGAAGAAUGCUAAGAUUAGGAAAUGAUUCUUAGUUGACGGUACUUUACUAGAAAGUCACGGCUUACUACGUGCCCAGCAGCCGCGGUAAUACGGAGGAUGCAAGCGUUAUCCGGAUUUAUUGGGUUUAAAGGGUGCGUAGGCGGACGACUAAGUCAGCGGUGAAAUAUCCCGGCUCAACCGGGAGGCUGCCGUUGAUACUGGUCGCCUUGAGUACGAACGGCGCCGGCGGAAUAUGUAAUGUAGCGGUGAAAUGCGUAGAUAUUACAUAGAACACCGAUCGCGAAGGCAGCUGGCGGGGACGUCACUGACGCUGAGGCACGAAGGCGUGGGGAUCAAACAGGAUUAGAUACCCUGGUAGUCCACGCAGUAAACGAUGAUAACUUGUUGUCGGCGAUAGACAGUCGGUGACAAAGCGAAAGCGAUAAGUUAUCCACCUGGGGAGUACGAUCGCAAGGUUGAAACUCAAAGGAAUUGACGGGGGCCCGCACAAGCGGAGGAGCAUGUGGUUUAAUUCGAUGAUACGCGAGGAACCUUACCUAGACUCAAAUGUUGAGCGACCGACCCAGAAAUGGGUCUUUCCUUCGGGACGCUUAGCAAGGUGCUGCAUGGUUGUCGUCAGCUCGUGCCGUGAGGUGUCAGGUUAAGUCCUAUAACGAGCGCAACCCCUACGUCCAGUUGCCAGCGGGUAGAGCCGGGGACUCUGGACGGACUGCCGGCGCAAGCCGAGAGGAAGGUGGGGAUGACGUCAAAUCAGCACGGCCCUUACGUCUAGGGCGACACACGUGCUACAAUGGCCGGUACAGAGGGCAGCUACGCCGCGAGGCGAUGCGAAUCUCGAAAGCCGGUCUCAGUUCGGAUCGGAGUCUGCAACCCGACUCCGUGAAGUUGGAUUCGCUAGUAAUCGCGCAUCAGCCAUGGCGCGGUGAAUACGUUCCCGGGCCUUGCACACACCGCCCGUCAAG
This 1413-nucleotide ribosomal RNA is filed under the name uncultured bacterium. RNAcentral describes it as "bacterial SSU rRNA". It matches the Rfam family "Bacterial small subunit ribosomal RNA". The record is from RNAcentral.